AGGCCUGUGGCAGAGCAAGGAGCACAAGUGCUGCUUUUCUAUUCCUUGGACCCACAUUUAAUGUUACAGGGUUGCUUUUCCAGCUUCCAGGGAGUGACCUCAGCCAGAGCUUGGCUUCACCAGAGCAGAGUUAGUGCUUAGUGUCUUCAUCCUCAGUGCUUCCAGCCGCAGACAUGGAGAAGGGGGGGAAUGGAGCUGAGAUCAUGUCAAGUGAUCAUUGCAGGAGAAAGAGACCGAAAGGACGUCCAUUUCUGCCCCCUGUCUGUGGUGUUUCAGCUGUCCAUGAAUAACCGGGUGGCUGCUGGGAACAGCAGGAUGACGACUGUCAUUUCUGCUGGUCUCUGCCAAGAGGGGGGAGAAAAUGACAAGCAGAAGCACCAAGUAUAUGGCAAGAGCCACUGCAUGAAUCAAGAGGGAGGAGUGGUUCUGGUCACCAAAGCUCAGCACUCCAUGGCAGAGGUGACAAAGCAAGAGGUUUAGUAAGCAUAAUUACUUUGCUCUGUGGAAACAUGCCUGAAACAACCGAAGAAGCACUGGAGUUGAGGUGUUUCUGCAAUCAUCUCCAUAGUUCCUGAAUCCCAAGAGAUGUGUUCAGGUUUUGAGGCUCAUUCUGCUUCU
Molecule: long non-coding RNA, 618 nt
Organism: Pezoporus flaviventris
Lineage: Eukaryota; Metazoa; Chordata; Aves; Psittaciformes; Psittacidae
Exons: 3
Source: RefSeq, a predicted model, not a curated record